Molecule: ribosomal RNA, 693 nt
Filed under: uncultured bacterium
Lineage: Bacteria
Description: bacterial SSU rRNA
Rfam family: Bacterial small subunit ribosomal RNA
Source: RNAcentral
AACGCUAGCUACAGGCUUAACACAUGCAAGUCGAGGGGCAGCAUCAUCAAAGCUUGCUUUGAUGGAUGGCGACCGGCGCACGGGUGAGUAACACGUAUCCAACCUGCCGACAACACUGGGAUAGCCUUUCGAAAGAAAGAUUAAUACCGGAUGGCAUAGUUUUCCCGCAUGGGAUAAUUAUUAAAGAACUUCGGUUGUCGAUGGGGAUGCGUUCCAUUAGGCAGUUGGCGGGGUAACGGCCCACCAAACCAACGAUGGAUAGGGGUUCUGAGAGGAAGGUCCCCCACAUUGGAACUGAGACACGGUCCAAACUCCUACGGGAGGCAGCAGUGAGGAAUAUUGGUCAAUGGACGAGAGUCUGAACCAGCCAAGUAGCGUGAAGGAUGACUGCCCUAUGGGUUGUAAACUUCUUUUAUACGGGAAUAAAGUGAGCCACGUGUGGCUUUUUGUAUGUACCGUAUGAAUAAGGAUCGGCUAACUCCGUGCCAGCAGCCGCGGUAAUACGGAGGAUCCGAGCGUUAUCCGGAUUUAUUGGGUUUAAAGGGAGCGUAGGCGGGUUGUUAAGUCAGUUGUGAAAGUUUGCGGCUCAACCGUAAAAUUGCAGUUGAUACUGGCGACCUUGAGUGCAACAGAGGUAGGCGGAAUUCGUGGUGUAGCGGUGAAAUGCUUAGAUAUCACGAAGAACUCCGAUUG